AAUUUGUUUUCACAUCUGCAAAACAAAAACGUUCUCAAUCAUUCAGUUGAAUACUAUGCAAAUAGUGCCUUGUUAUGUUGGGGGGGGGGGGGGGGGCUGGGAAAAACAAAGACAUGGGCGGGUGGGGGGCAUAAGUUGGAAAUGGGUUUCUCUUUGGAUGACAGCAUUUGGAAUGUGUCAAGUACUGCAAAUGGUGAAAAAAUAAA
This is a long non-coding RNA of Hippocampus zosterae (dwarf seahorse), 206 nucleotides long. RefSeq lists it as uncharacterized. Lineage: Eukaryota; Metazoa; Chordata; Actinopteri; Syngnathiformes; Syngnathidae. The transcript has 2 exons. The record is from RefSeq and is a predicted model, not a curated record.